CUCACCACUACAGGCGCGAACAGAAGCCAUUCAUUGCAAGGUAUAAGAUAUUUUCUGGAAGCAACACAAGUUCACAAGACUUAGGGAGGUUUACAGUCACAUAGCAGCACUGCUGUUUAAGGUGGAUAUGGCUGAACGAGCUGGAGUUAAAUCAAAGGCAUGCACAAGUGAUGCCUCCAAUUGGAAUUCUGCUUAUAGAAAAGAGCCUUAUGCAGUCCCGAUGAGUGACGUUCAUGAGAAGAGCGCGGUGUCAGUUUUUGGAGACGGAAGCAAGCAGUGAA
Haliotis rubra (blacklip abalone) is the source of this 281-nucleotide long non-coding RNA. RefSeq lists it as uncharacterized. The transcript is spliced from 3 exons. The record is from RefSeq and is a predicted model, not a curated record. Lineage: Eukaryota; Metazoa; Mollusca; Gastropoda; Lepetellida; Haliotidae.